UGCUUAUAUCUAGAGUCAGGGCAGAUCCACCAGGAUCACAGAUUGCUGGGGCGUAAAGUUUCUUGAGAUUCAUAAAGAAGCCUUCAGAUGUAAUAUUGAAUGCAAAGCUGUGAAACUAAAUAGAAAGGCUGAAUCAGGGUGGAAAGGAGGACAUAAAUUUGGCCCCAGCAGCUUCCUCAGCUGAAGGCAAUUCUUGGGAAGGAACUUGGUUGUGGAUCCUGAGCAGUGAGGCUAUGAAAAUCGAGGAGUGAGCGAGCGAGCGCCUUCCAGUUGCAGAACAACUACGCUGCACCACAGCAUCCAGCAAAAUGACUUCUGCUUGAAGGACAUUGUAUAGCACCAUAUAAAUGUCAGACCUAUUUUCAUCUUGCUUUCAAGGUAAGAACAGUCUCUUUCAGCCAGAGAACCUUUAAAAUGUUUUUCAUUAUCACAGC
RNAcentral lists this long non-coding RNA (434 nucleotides) under Fukomys damarensis (Damara mole-rat). RNAcentral's name for it is "lncRNA (ENSFDAG00000023721.1)". The record is from RNAcentral. Lineage: Eukaryota; Metazoa; Chordata; Mammalia; Rodentia; Bathyergidae.